RNAcentral lists this ribosomal RNA (253 nucleotides) under uncultured bacterium. Its description in RNAcentral is "partial 16S ribosomal RNA". It matches the Rfam family "Bacterial small subunit ribosomal RNA", at positions 524 to 776 of the family's 1533-position model. The record is from RNAcentral.
GACGGGGGAUGCAAGUGUUAUCCGGAAUCACUGGGCGUAAAGCGUCUGUAGGUGGUUAAGUAAGUCAACUGUUAAAUCUUGAGGCUCAACCUCAAAAUCGCAGUCGAAACUGCUUGACUAGAGUAUAGUAGGGGUAAAGGGAAUUUCCAGUGGAGCGGUGAAAUGCGUAGAUAUUGGAAAGAACACCGAUGGCGAAGGCACUUUACUGGGCUAUUACUAACACUGAGAGACGAAAGCUAGGGUAGCAAAUGGG